This 492-nucleotide ribosomal RNA is filed under the name uncultured bacterium. Its description in RNAcentral is "partial 16S ribosomal RNA". It matches the Rfam family "Bacterial small subunit ribosomal RNA", at positions 29 to 507 of the family's 1533-position model. The record is from RNAcentral.
AGUGAACGCUGGCGGUAGGCCUAACACAUGCAAGUCGAACGGCAGCACAGUAAGAGCUUGCUCUUACGGGUGGCGAGUGGCGGACGGGUGAGGAAUACAUCGGAAUCUACUUUUUCGUGGGGGAUAACGUAGGGAAACUUACGCUAAUACCGCAUACGACCUACGGGUGAAGGCAGGGGAUCUUCGGACCUUGCGCGAUUGAAUGAGCCGAUGUCGAAUUAGCUAGUUGGCGGGGUAAAGGCCCACCAAGGCGACGAUCCGUAGCUGGUCUGAGAGGAUGAUCAGCCACACUGGAACUGAGACACGGUCCAGACUCCUACGGGAGGCAGCAGUGGGGAAUAUUGGACAAUGGGCGCAAGCCUGAUCCAGCCAUACCGCGUGGGUGAAGAAGGCCUUCGGGUUGUAAAGCCCUUUUGUUGGGAAAGAAAAGCAGCAGGUUAAUACCCCGCUGUUCUGACGGUACCCAAAGAAUAAGCACCGGCUAACUUCGUG